This 486-nucleotide long non-coding RNA is filed under the name Malus domestica (apple). RNAcentral describes it as "long non-coding RNA (MDOM_LNC000529)". Lineage: Eukaryota; Viridiplantae; Streptophyta; Magnoliopsida; Rosales; Rosaceae. The record is from RNAcentral.
UUAUAUGGUGCCUCAUGUCAUUAGAACAAGGAUAUAUGAAUAAAAUCGUACUCUUAUUGUAUUGACGUACGUCUAUCCAUUGUGCUCUAUUAUUGGCCAAAUAGUAGUGACAAACUCAUAUAGUUUGUUGCUUACCCCUCAUUUCUUGGCACUAUUGCAUAUAUAUUGUUGCCCUUAUUGGGAAAAGCCUUCCUAGCAAUUUUUUUUAUGAUUUAUGAAUUAUUGGUGGAAGACUGAUACAUUUAGCUUCAACUAGUCGAGGAGAUGGAGGGUCGUUGUAUUAGGGAGUUAGUCAUUUUUCAUCGUUUUGAGCGCGAAAAAGUAACUUACUUAUGUAGUCAAUGACUAAAUCUCAAGGUGUGCUAGCUAAAGAUUAAGGUGCUACUUAGUAGCCCGAUGACCAAACCUUAUCAGCAAUUCGACUCACCUAAUCCUUCAACAAUUUUCAUUUGUUAUUAGUUUGCAGUUGCUCAUCUCAUAUACUGU